UCUGACGGAGCAACGCCGCGUGAGUGAUGAAGGUUUUCGGAUCGUAAAGCUCUGUUGUUAGGGAAGAACAAGUACCGUUCGAAUAGGGCGGUACCUUGACGGUACCUAACCAGAAAGCCACGGCUAACUACGUGCCAGCAGCCGCGGUAAUACGUAGGUGGCAAGCGUUGUCCGGAAUUAUUGGGCGUAAAGCGCGCGCAGGUGGUUCCUUAAGUCUGAUGUGAAAGCCCACGGCUCAACCGUGGAGGGUCAUUGGAAACUGGGGAACUUGAGUGCAGAAGAGGAAAGUGGAAUUCCAAGUGUAGCGGUGAAAUGCGUAGAUAUUUGGAGGAACACCAGUGGCGAAGGCGACUUUCUGGUCUGUAACUGACACUGAGGCGCGAAAGCGUGGGGAGCAAACAGGAUUAGAUACCCUGGUAGUCCACGCCGUAAACGAUGAGUGCUAAGUGUUAGGGGGUUUCCGCCCCUUAGUGCUGCAGCUAACGCAUUAAGCACUCCGCCUGGGGAGUACGGUCGCAAGACUGAAACUC
Molecule: ribosomal RNA, 530 nt
Filed under: Bacillus sp. Bact265ppt-b
Lineage: Bacteria; Bacillati; Bacillota; Bacilli; Caryophanales; Bacillaceae
Also listed under: 2 other names
Description: bacterial SSU rRNA
Rfam family: Bacterial small subunit ribosomal RNA
Source: RNAcentral